RNAcentral lists this unclassified non-coding RNA (249 nucleotides) under plant metagenome. RNAcentral's name for it is "partial contains small subunit ribosomal RNA, internal transcribed spacer 1, and 5.8S ribosomal RNA". The stretch from base 201 to 249 matches the Rfam family "5.8S ribosomal RNA", at positions 1 to 49 of the family's 154-position model. The record is from RNAcentral.
UCUCCGUAGGUGAACCUGCGGAGGGAUCAUUACAGAGUUCAUGCCCUACCGGGUAGAUCUCCCACCCUAUGUUAUUAUUACUUUGUUGCUUUGGCGGGCCGUUAGGCUCCGGCCCGACUACCGGCCCCGGCUGGUAAGCGCCCGCCAGAGGACCCAAAACCCUGAAUAUUAGUGUCGUCUGAGUACUAUAUAAUAGUUAAAACUUUCAACAACGGAUCUCUUGGUUCUGGCAUCGAUGAAGAACGUAGC